RNAcentral lists this transfer RNA (68 nucleotides) under Ictidomys tridecemlineatus (thirteen-lined ground squirrel). RNAcentral describes it as "Spermophilus tridecemlineatus (thirteen-lined ground squirrel) tRNA". It matches the Rfam family "tRNA". Rfam says of the family: Transfer RNA (tRNA) molecules are approximately 80 nucleotides in length. Their secondary structure includes four short double-helical elements and three loops (D, anti-codon, and T loops). Further hydrogen bonds mediate the characteristic L-shaped molecular structure. tRNAs have two regions of fundamental functional importance: the anti-codon, which is responsible for specific mRNA codon recognition, and the 3' end, to which the tRNAs corresponding amino acid is attached (by aminoacyl-tRNA synthetases). tRNAs cope with the degeneracy of the genetic code in two manners: having more than one tRNA (with a specific anti-codon) for a particular amino acid; and 'wobble' base-pairing, i.e. permitting non-standard base-pairing at the 3rd anti-codon position. Lineage: Eukaryota; Metazoa; Chordata; Mammalia; Rodentia; Sciuridae. The record is from Rfam by way of RNAcentral.
GGGGUUGUAGCUCUGAGGUAGAGCGCUUGCCUAGGAAGCAUGAGGCACUGGGUUCAUCCUCAGCACCA